This is a long non-coding RNA of Pipra filicauda (Wire-tailed manakin), 634 nucleotides long. RefSeq lists it as uncharacterized. NCBI's taxonomy places the organism in Eukaryota, Metazoa, Chordata, Aves, Passeriformes, Pipridae. The transcript is spliced from 3 exons. The record is from RefSeq and is a predicted model, not a curated record.
AGGGUUUAAUGUUCACCCCCUAUACCUCCCUCCUUCCUUCCCUCCUAAACAUCCCAGGCUAAAGGGGAAACCCAUCUCCUCUCUUCCCUCUGUGCUGGCUUCCUGCUGACAUCAUAACAUACCUUCAUGAGGUACUAGGGGUUGUUCCACAUCAAGGGGGGUGUCCCACAUCAAGGAGGGUCCCUGAGCCACUUCCCAGCAAGGGCUGGGGUCUGUGGGGUCUCCCCUGUGUGUAGCUGUUCAGAGCCAGGGCAGAGAAGCUCUGGUGUCACACAGCAGGGAAAGGAGAAGGAAAUGUCCCUUCUGGAAGUGAGCAAGGAAGAGAGAAAGACAGAAUUCCUAUGCACAGAUGGCAGCUUUCAAAUGCAGCCUGGUCUGGUUUCAGAGAGCAGAAAGAACGACCUCUAAUGCACUGUUCAUUUGCUGCAGGGCAGCUUCCAGACUUUGAGAGAACAGCAGAAGAGGACACUUGAGUAAAAUUCUGAGUGCGGGUUCAGCCUUUUCAUAGCAAUCUUUCCUGUCUGACUCUUGCUUCCAGCUCUCUGCUGGCUCAUCCUGCUGAAAAUGUAUUUUGGGCCUCAUUGUCCAGUGGAAAGGACAGUUUAUGUGAAAAAUCGGUGCACUGGAGGACUGC